AAUAGCCCUUGGCUACCCCGAGCACAUCCCGUGCUACCUCCCUAACCAAGUUCGCCGUCUCUGACCACAUAGCGUUCGCUUCCCCAGAACUUUCGAAGCUCCGCCCUCAGCUAACCUCCUCUCCAACUCUGUGCUCUCUCCUAAGUCAAAACACCCCAUCUAGUACGCGGUUGUCCUCGAGAACCCCUCCUCUUCCUCUUCACCCAAAGACCGACAUCCAUCACAAGGAGUCUAUGAAGAGUCGAAAGGGACUCUCCCUAGCUUCCGUAACCGCCAGCUUUGAUUCUUUCCUCGCCACCUUAUAAAUCUCCCUGUUUGCUCUCCGCUCUUCCUCUCUUAUGCUCCCUGCCAACUUAGCAAACGCCGCCUUCUUCACCUCCACUUUUCCUUCGACUACAUUCUUCUCAGAUUGGGGAAUACUACUCACCAGAUCGUCCAAGCCCUCCCAAAAGCAUCUCUUAACCUCCUCGUCUAAGCCCGCGUGCGGCACGUAAGCGCUGAUGACGUUGAGUACGCAACCCCCAAUAACCAACUUAAUAGACAUUAACCUAUCAUUCACUCGCCUAACCUCAACCACGGACUC
Molecule: long non-coding RNA, 583 nt
Filed under: Nicotiana benthamiana
Lineage: Eukaryota; Viridiplantae; Streptophyta; Magnoliopsida; Solanales; Solanaceae
Description: long non-coding RNA (NBEN_LNC031408)
Source: RNAcentral